UCUCUUUAACUUUUUAGUCAA
Non-coding RNA from Caenorhabditis elegans, 21 nucleotides. Lineage: Eukaryota; Metazoa; Nematoda; Chromadorea; Rhabditida; Rhabditidae. The record is from Ensembl.